GUGCCAGCCGCCGCGGUAAUACCGGCAGCUCAAGUGAUGUCCCAUAUUAUUGGGCCUAAAGCGUCCGUAGCUGGCCGACCAAGUCUCCCGGGAAAUCCACCCGCCCAACGGGUGGGCGUCCGGUAGAAACUGGCCGGCUUGGAACCGGAAGGCUCAGAGAGUACGUCCGGGGUAGGAGUGAAAUCCCAUAAUCCCGCACGGACCACCGAUGGCGAAAGCACUUCGAGAAAACGGAUCCGACAGUGAGGGACGAAAGCCAGGGUCUCCAACCGGAUUAGAUACCCGGGUAGUCC
This 293-nucleotide ribosomal RNA is filed under the name uncultured bacterium. Its description in RNAcentral is "partial 16S ribosomal RNA". It matches the Rfam family "Archaeal small subunit ribosomal RNA", at positions 455 to 747 of the family's 1478-position model. The record is from RNAcentral.